AGAUUGAACGCUGGCGGCGUGCCUAACACAUGCAAGUCGAGCGGUAACAGGUGUAGCAAUACAUGCUGACGAGCGGCGAACGGGUGAGUAAUGCUUCGGAAUCUACCUUAUGGUGGGGAAUAACUAGCCGAAAGGUUAGCUAAUACCGCAUACGUCCUACGGGAGAAAGCAGGGGAUCGCAAGACCUUGCGCCAAAAGAUGAGCCGAAGUCGGAUUAGCUAGUGGUAGGUAACGGCUACAAGGCGACGAUCCGUAGCUGGUCUGAGAGGACGACCAGCACACUGGAACUGAGACACGGUCCAGACUCCUACGGGAGCAGCAGUGGGAAUAUGGACAAUGGGGAACCUGAUCAGCGACGUCCGGCGUGUGUGAAGAAGGCCGUGGCGGGUUGAAGCUACUUUAGUGGGAUGAAAUGUAGCAGAGCUAAUACUCUAGUACUUUGACCUAACC
This 450-nucleotide ribosomal RNA is filed under the name uncultured soil bacterium. RNAcentral's name for it is "bacterial SSU rRNA". It matches the Rfam family "Bacterial small subunit ribosomal RNA", at positions 26 to 479 of the family's 1533-position model. The record is from RNAcentral.